GCUCAGUACGGCGAGUGAGCGGCAACAGCUCAAAUUUGAAAUCUGGCUCUUUCAGGGUCCGAAUUGUAAUUUGCAGAGGAUGCUUUGGGUGCGGGCGCCUUCCGAGUUCCCUGGAACGGGACGCCAUAGAGGGUGAGAGCCCCGUCUGGUAGGAUGCCCAGCCCGUGUAAAGCUCCCUCGACGAGUCGAGUAGUUUGGGAAUGCUGCUCUAAGGGGAGGUAUACUCCUUCCAAAGCUAAAUACCGGCUGGAGACCGAUAGCGCACAAGUAGAGUGAUCGAAAGAUGAAAAGCACUUUGAAAAGAGAGUCAAAUAGCACGUGAAAUUGUUGAAAGGGAAGCGCUCGCUACCAGACUUGGGUACGCGGUUCCGUAGGUGCUCCGCACCUGCGUACUCCUCGUGCCCAGGCCAGCAUCAGUUCUUCGUCGGGUUAAAAGGCUUCGGGAAUGUGGCUCGCCUCGGUGAGUGUUAUAGUCCCGUUGUGUCAUGCCCGGUGGGGGACUGAGGUACGCGCUCCGCAAGGAU
Molecule: ribosomal RNA, 524 nt
Filed under: Acrostalagmus luteoalbus
Lineage: Eukaryota; Fungi; Ascomycota; Sordariomycetes; Glomerellales; Plectosphaerellaceae
Description: LSU rRNA
Rfam family: Eukaryotic large subunit ribosomal RNA
Source: RNAcentral